AGCCACUCACAGCAGUCUCCUGCCACAGAUGUAGAUAAAUAUGAUUACCUGCCCCCAACCUCCCUGCUCUCCUGUUAGUGUCAGCGGUGGGAUCAGACCAGAGUCCCAGCCACUAAACCAGGCCCAGCGCCCAGGUGCCUAUGCCCAGGACUGGGGCAUGACCCUCGCACCAGAGUCCCUUGAUGGAUGGGUCACUUCCUGCAUGACUAUCCCCUGCUCCUUCACCUACCCUACAGGGUGGACGGUCAGGGCCGUGAGCUGGACACGGGACAGGGAUCAAACCGUGUAUCAUUUGGAUGAGGCUCGUGUCCACGCUGACUUCAAGGGGCACGUCCGCUAUCUGGGGGACCUGCAGCACAACUGCUCCCCGCGUGUGGCAGGGCUGCACCACAGCGAUCAGGGCACCUACCGCUUCUGAUUUGAGACAAUCGGUGAUGUCAAGAAUGACAGCUGGACGACUUAUCCAGGACAGCGACUCGUGUCUUUGGUAAUCAGGUUCCUUCCAGCAGCCCCAGUUCAACACAGGGACCUUGGAUAACCUCAGAUAGGACACUACACACGAGUGCGCAGACACAGAGCAGGAUUCGUCCCCUCCAGCUGGGGGCAGCAGGGACACACACACCCUUUCUGCCUUGCUCUGAAAUCCAAGUGGUUAGAGCUGGGAGCCAGGACUCCUGGGUUCUCUCCCCAACUUUAGGGGACGGGGUGGGGUGGAGAGGGAGAGUGGUUAAAGCAGCGGGGACUUGUGGGUUAGACUCCUGGGCUGUGUUGUCAGACCCGCGUCCCCGUCACUCUGUCUAACCCUGGGCCUGUGCUGAAGAGCCGCUGAGACUGACCCUGCAGCCAGCGUAAUGCAGCAGGCGUGAGGGGCUAUCAGGCGGAGCCCGAUAGUGGGACUGGGACCCUGCAGGACCCCCUGGCAGAAGAGAGGGAGCAGCCCAUCGGUGCUGGCUCUCCCUGUGGCGCUGAACGGAACCAGGACCCUCCCUCACCUGCUCCGUGGGGGCCGCCUGCUCCCAUCGCCCCUCCUGGUACAACCAAACGUGGCAGAGCCCAGAGCAAACCCCAGGCAGGGCUGGGCUGACCGAGCUGCAAAUAUCCCCGUCCCAGCUGGACCCUGGCGCGGCGCCUGAGAUACCAGGUGGAUGGAUACAGGGAUGAGUGUGACUCUGCCCAAUCCCAGCCCCUGGGGACAGGGUCGAGGUUUCAUGGCCGGCAGGGAAGGCAGUGCUAAGGGAAGGUGCCAAUUUUACCCUGCGCUGCCAGGCUGCUGCCCUGCGGCCCGUCGCCGGGUACGUCUGGUCCCGCGGGGACGUGUGGCUGCCAGAAGCCGGGCAGGAUUUACGUGUUGACAAGGCAGCCGUCUCCGAUGGAGGGAGCUACGCAUGCGGAGUCUGGGUCUCCGGCCCCGGCUGGGGGUAUCUGAGCCUCUCUGCGAGGGAAUCGGUCGAAGUUCAGCUCACCCACCCUGUUUGGGCUCCGAAGUACAUCAUAGGACCGACAGCUGCUCUUGUCCUAUUGCUGCUACUGGGGCUGGUCGGUGUUAUGGCUUGGAGGUAUUUGCGCUUUGGCAAACCGGUAAUAGCCACGUCUCUGAUCUCUGGCAAUCCCCAGCUCCUUCCGUCUGGCCUUUGCCGGAGAACCCCGAGCAAUCCAGGACUGAGAAUUGCUGAGCCAAUUCAGAUGCAUUGAAACCCAGCUGGAGGGAGGUGAUUGCAUGGUGGUGGUUGGGUCCCACACAAAUACCUGACACCUGCAAGGGACCUGGGAAGGGCUGGGUGGCUGCCUGGUUGCACGGCUGGGCUGGUGGUCAGGAGAGCAGGGGUCAAGCCAAGGCAGGAGGUUCUAUUUUGUGGGAGCCUUUGUCCUGUUCCUUCCUCUCCUGAACUGAAGCAGAUGAUGUUUUGCCUCUGAGCUGUUGAUUUCCUUUCUUUGAAAGAGGCAGAGCAAACGCCAGGGAAUGAGCAGCAAUGCGGUAAGUGUGUCUAUGGGGCUGGGAGCCAGGGGGGCUGGGUUCUCUCCCUAGCUCUGCUGCUGAGUCACUGCAUGACUUUAGAUGAGCUCUGUCCCUCAGUUUCCCCCUCCAUAAAAGAGGAUUAUAAAUUUCCACCCCCUCCCCCGGAGCAGGACAGAAGGUCUUUCCAAUCCCCUGGGUAGUUUAUCUGGGGGGAGAGGGGGCCUCUGUGCAUUCCCCUUUGUUAUUACACAUCACCGAGCAGUCCCAGAGCAGUGGCUCGCGGCCUCACUUCUGCCUGCCUUGCAGCACCAGCCGGGCCCUGGGGAGACCCUGAUGUCUGGAUGCAUCUAUGAGAAGAACACCCAGGACUAUGGCCUGGGGCAGCCAGCCGCAUGUUAGAUACGCGCCUCCUCCUGGGGGAUAGCGCGACCACCGAGCUGUGCCCGGGCUCUCCGGCCGGCAUCGGGCAAUCCCACACCUACAGCCAGACAAUGAACAUGGGCAAAGUACUGCAGGUGAGUGACUCAUUCCUCUGUGUAUACGAGGCCCUGGACUCCUGGGUUCUAUCCCCAGCUCCUGGAGGGGUGUGGGGUCGAGUGGUUAGAGCAGGGAGUGGGCUGGGCUGUGAGUCUUUAGGUUGUUCCUACAAAGAAGCCCAGGACUUUCGCUCUUACCCAGCAUGUUCACACUGAUCCUGGUCAUCCACUUUCUCUCCUCCUGCUUCUGCCUGGGCUUCGAGACAACCAGUCUGAGCCCCUACGAGCCGUUCUCGCUGGCCCGCAGAUCAGACAGCUGCAUGCUGCAAUCUCUCUCCAGGUCCCCCAGGAACCUCACGCGCCCUGCGAAGGCUGGGCUGAUAGUGGCGUUGUGUUUAUACAGGAUGGUGCCACUGAAAUCUUUCUUCUCAGGGUCAUACCCAGAAUUCAGGUUCCAGGCCAGGGAGCUGAUGGUCAGGUUGUUUGGCCUUGUGGGGUUCAGGACACAGGAUUGAUAGUGGCAUGGGAUGGACAGACAGGCCCCUGUCCAAGCGAUCAGGGACUUGGGGACCUCGAUGCAUGGCUGGAAGCAUUGACAGAGGAAGCCUGGAAGCAGCAGAGUGACAGAGAUGGCAGUGAGGGGCAAGCUGGCCAGGCAUUUCCAGUGCCGAACUGGGACUCAGGACAUUGGGGUUUGAUUCCCAGCACUAAACUCCUUGUUCAGCUCAUGGUGUGGCUCCGUGCCUCAGUUUCCCCAUCUGUACAAUGAGGAGAACCUAGUAAGCCUGGCUCUCGGCCUUCCUGCUCUAACCACUAGACACCACACCCCUCCCAGAGCUGGGGACAGAACCCAGGAGUUCUGAAUCCCAGCCCAACCCUCUGAACCCCCUGUCACUGGAUCACAUUAAUUUGAUGCAAGUGGAGUAAAUCUCACAGAAGAAAACCUCCCUCUGACCUUGUGACCCCCAGCCAGGUUUCCGCUCCCUUCUCCCCAGCCCUCAGGGCUCUGUGGGGCUGAAGUAGCCAGACCUUCAGGGCGAGGGGAAGAGGCCUUACCUGGGAGGAACAGCAGCCAGACGAGACGCCUCAAGGUGAUCCCUGAGCAGCUGCGGCACUGGGGAACAAAGGAAAGAGCGAAGGUUUGGUUGGUUCCUGCAAUGACCCAGAGCAACAUCAACCACCGGAGAGAGAGGAGCUAGAGGGGAGACUGCAGGGAACCUGUUACCUGCGGUAACCACUAGACCCCACUCCCCUCUCAAGGCUGGGGAGAGAACCCAGGCGUCCGGGCUGCCAGCCCCCUGCUCUAACUCACUAGCUGCUGGAUGGCGCAGUGCAAAGGGCGUCACAUUGACACAGGGGAGGCAGCUUAACGCAGGGGAACCAUUGCCCACCCCACUGGGCAUGGGGGUUAUUACAGGGCUUGGUGCCCAGAGCGGGGAAAUUGAGCUUCCUAUGGAGAAACUCCAGCGGGAACCCUCCCUCUGCUGAUGAUCAAUCCACGGGAGACCCAGCAGCCCCUCGCACUGUGCGGGAGGCUGCGAGUCCGUGUGCAGCUAUCGCUGGUUCAUGGAUCGCUCUCGGAGUUGGACACGCGGUGACAGUCAUCACUCAGCGGGUGACUUUAAUACAGUUGAGCAGAGACAAGGGACCUUGUUCCUGUGACUGUCUGUCUUACUGGCCUGGGCCUCCCUGUGUCCUGGUGACGCUGGAUCUAAACCAGGGCGAGGUGACUCUGCUGAACGGAGACGGCAGCCGCCAGCGCCGGCCCCUCACUGCUGUAAUGUCACAUCACUCGCAUUCACUUCAAAUAAAACUAAAGGGUAGAGGGGGUGGGGG
Molecule: long non-coding RNA, 4269 nt
Organism: Gopherus evgoodei (Goodes thornscrub tortoise)
Lineage: Eukaryota; Metazoa; Chordata; Testudines; Testudinidae
Exons: 6
Source: RefSeq, a predicted model, not a curated record